This 71-nucleotide microRNA precursor is filed under the name Nicotiana sylvestris (wood tobacco). Its description in RNAcentral is "MIR6151 microRNA precursor family". It matches the Rfam family "MIR6151 microRNA precursor family". RNAcentral also lists the same sequence under 1 other name. The record is from Rfam by way of RNAcentral. Lineage: Eukaryota; Viridiplantae; Streptophyta; Magnoliopsida; Solanales; Solanaceae.
GAUUGUUGGAUGAGUGUGAGGCGUUGGAUUGAUUUAACUCAAUCUGAGCCCCACAUUCAUUAGGUGCUCGU